Molecule: small nucleolar RNA, 66 nt
Filed under: Astyanax mexicanus (Mexican tetra)
Lineage: Eukaryota; Metazoa; Chordata; Actinopteri; Characiformes; Acestrorhamphidae
Source: RNAcentral
AUGGAGGUGAUGACAAUUAAAACUUGAUUGUCUGUGAUGUUCAAGUAUUCAUACUGUCUGAUCCAC